RNAcentral lists this transfer RNA (48 nucleotides) under Paroedura bastardi. RNAcentral's name for it is "tRNA-Ser". Lineage: Eukaryota; Metazoa; Chordata; Lepidosauria; Squamata; Gekkonidae. The record is from RNAcentral.
ACUAACCUGCUAAAUUAGUAACCCAGCACUGAUUACGCUGGCACUCUC